RNAcentral lists this ribosomal RNA (106 nucleotides) under Bacteroides caecigallinarum. RNAcentral describes it as "partial 16S ribosomal RNA". It matches the Rfam family "Bacterial small subunit ribosomal RNA", at positions 1 to 97 of the family's 1533-position model. The record is from RNAcentral. Lineage: Bacteria; Pseudomonadati; Bacteroidota; Bacteroidia; Bacteroidales; Bacteroidaceae.
UUUUACAAUGAAGAGUUUGAUCCUGGCUCAGGAUGAACGCUAGCUACAGGCUUAACACAUGCAAGUCGAGGGGCAGCAUGAACUUAGCUUGCUAAGUUUGAUGGCG